Molecule: long non-coding RNA, 2552 nt
Organism: Centropristis striata (black sea bass)
Lineage: Eukaryota; Metazoa; Chordata; Actinopteri; Perciformes; Serranidae
Exons: 2
Source: RefSeq, a predicted model, not a curated record
CUCCUCUCUCCUCCACUUCCUCCUGCUCCUCUAUCUCCUGCUCCUCCUCCUCCUGCUCCUCCACCUCCUGCUCCUCCUGAAGCUGCAGCUGCAGACGGAUCACUGCCUCCUGUGUUGUCCAGCGUGUCUCCGUGUCUCAUCUUGUGGACUUUAACAGUUGCUGAGCACAAACUGUAGCAUGAAGAGGCUCGUCCCUUCACGACUCGCCUGGACAACAAUGUUUUUAUUCUGAGACUCUGAAUCGUUUCUACACAACGACGCAAACGUGUUUUUAAGAAGCAUUUCUCCCUCGAGGGUUUUCCUAGCUGAAGCUCCUGCAGGACGUUUGGAGCGAAGAUGAUGUGUAAAUAUUUCUGUGUUCACUGGACGCUCACCAGCUGCUGCUGGCUCACCGUUAGCUCGCCCAGCUAAAAGGCUAACUCCUGACAGUUUAUCUUUAGCGCAGCUGAGCUAACUGAUGCUAAAUGACACAUUUAGCAGAGUUAAGCUAACAUGCUAAUUAGGCACACAGCUGCAUCAUAAACCACUCAUAGCUCAUGUUUAGCACGGCUAAGCUAACAUGCUAAUUCGUGAGAGUUCAUGUUUAGCACAGCUAAGCUAACAUGCUAAUUAGUGACGCCACUGCAUUACAAACCAGUCAUAGCUCAUGUUUAGCACGGCUAAGCUAGCAUGCUAAUUGAUGAGAGUUCUUGUUUAGCAUGGCUAAGCUAACAUGCUAGUAAGGGACACAGCUGCGUUAUAAACCACUGAUAGUUCAUGUUUAGCAGAGCUAAGCUAACUGAUACUAAAUUACACAUUUAGCAGAGUUAAGAUAACAUGCUAAUUAGCAACACAGCUGCAUGAUAACCACUCAUAGCUCAUGUUUAGCAUGGCUAAGAUAAUAUGCUAAUUAACGAGAGCUCAUGUUAGCAAAGCUAAGCUAACAUGCUAAUAAGUGACACAGCUGCAUUAUAAAUCACUCAGCUCAUGUUUAGUAUUGCUAAGCUAAGAUGCUAAUUAGUGACACAGCUGCAUUAUAAACCACUCAUAGCUCAUGUUUAGCACGGCUAAGCUAAUAUGCUAAUUAACGAGAGCUUGUGUUAGCAUGACUAAGCUAAGCUAGAGGAGCUGGUUUGUGAUGUCACAGGACUUUCAACAUUUAAUCAGUUUAAAGAGUUUUAUUUCCAAUUUGACAAAUCUGCUCAAAGCUGUUUUAAUAAAAGAUAUCUACAAUUAAUUUAGGUCAAAUUGUUUCUGUAGAUAUUUCAUUGAAUGUUGAAUCUAAAAUGCAGCUAAAAGUCGACACAUUGUAACGAUGUGAAGCUCCGACACGACUCAACGUGUUCCAGAACAAACUGAAGCCUGAAGUUAGUUUCCAGAUCUAUAGGUCCAAAACCUUCAGGUUACAAUCUGGAAAUAAUUUGCAGAAAUCAGUUUUUCUUACUGCUGAUAUUAAUAAUUAAAUCAGUUUUGACUCAGUGGAAUGUAACCAAGUACAUUUACUCCAGUUUACUGCAGUCUUUCCAUUUGAUGUACCUUCAUAUUAUAUUAUAAUUAUUAAUUAAUUAUAUUUCUCCUCUACAUCCAGCUGAAGCUUCAGUUACUUUCUGGUCGAGAUUUAACAUGGGGAGUUUUUCUCCCCACCAGUGCAAUAACAAUAAUAAUAAGAAUUAUUAUUAUUAUUAUUAUUUAAUGUAAAACUGCUGUAUGAUAUCCGUCAUCCUGAAGCUGUCAGACAGAUGCAGUGGAGUCAAAAGUAAAAUAUCGAAAUGUAAAGUAACAUUAAAUGCUCAAAUAAAAGUAAAAGUACCUUGAGUUUGUAUUUAAGUACAAUUCUAAGGUACUCCUACUUUACUUGGGUAUUUCUGUUUCCUUUAGUUACUUCAUCAGGUUGGUAUUUGACAUAAAUAAAUCAAUUUAAAGUGAUUUUAAUAAAUCAAAGCACAUACAAGAAUGUUAGAAUUACAGUAAAAUGCAUCAAUGAUAAUGAUCCAAUAAUACAUUUUGGAUAUAUAAAAUUAUCUGCAGAACGAGUACUUUUACUUUUGAUACAUACAGUAGUAUAUUUUGAUGAUUUUGUACUUUUACUGCAGUGAAGCAAUCUGAUUACUUCUUCCACCUCUGUUGAAAUAUAUUUUGUACAUGUGAAAGUAUAUUUGUGGCGUGUCCGAGCUGAUUGACAGAUCUCUGCAGGGACAUGUUGACAUGGACAGGUGAGCAGGUGAACAGGUGAACAGGUGAACAGGUGAGCUGCUGCUGGUGCAGGUGAGCGUUCAGUGGACGUGUGCAGAGAUUUCUCCACUCUGACUGUAAAUAUGAACAUCAGGUCUUUGUUUCACUUCAAUCAUCAUUUCUGGAUGUUUUUCACUGAUUUGCUUUGUUUUUUUGUCUUUCUGAUGUAAAUAAUAAUAAUAAUAUCUUUAUUUUUGUAUGUUGACACAAGGCUUUGACUUUAUUUACAGUGCAAUGUGGUGCAUGACUCAGUGAGAGUGCACACAGGUUUUAUAUGUAGCUGCUCCAACAUGUCACAGGAAAUACCAAAUAAACCGACGGCUGGCUUUAUACCACCACAA